UUAGCCUGUUUGGUCUUAAUAUUUCUCAUUUAGCUUCAACAAAGUGAGAAUAUAAAAUCCAAGAAGCCUCCAAUUCAAUCUGACAACGUGUUUGCUAACAAUUACACUCCGAUUUUAUUACUGUAUGCAUCAGACCCGAUGGCACCAGUAUUUUAAAGCCUUUUAAACGCUGGGUCCCUGCCGAGCCCGGACGCAGUAUGUUUUCACGAGAGAAUGGCGUAAACAUUUUGUAAAUUAAUAUAAACAUAAAAUGCUGCUGUAGGAUACUCGUGAGCAGAGUUAGGCAGUAACUAGUUACAUUUACUUGAGUGGCUUCUUGUAAAAAAAAAAAACAAUUGGUGGGUCGCAGACACGUGACCCGGAUGUCGCGCGAAAUUCAGAUGGUUUUUCAGGAAGUGGAUUUCUCCGGUUCAAAACAGAGCAAAGUGGAUCGCAGCGAGUGCGCUAAUGCCCUAAAUGGGCUGGCACAGACGAGGCAUCGCGAACAAAUACGCGUAUAUUUAGGAUAUGAUCCAUAUUAUCUCGGUAAAAAAAAGAUUUGUCGUGUAAUCUUGAGGAUUUACCCGGCGUCGAAACGAUCCCCGUAACUAUCUGCUGCUGCAGACCUCAUAUUAUUCAACGAGCCAGAUGAAAGCUUUCAACAGCCUGGAAGGAUAGGAUUAUUUAGUUUCAGUUUAAAGAAGCAUUAAAUGGCCGUCUGCUUGUUUCUGCCCUCUAAAUAUAUGUUGAAGAGGCACCGCCACCUCUACUAGUGAGUCACCUGCCUUUGCUUUCCAGGGCACAUAAAACAAAAAAGGUACAAAUAUCUAACUUCUUUUUUUUUGUUACAGUUAAA
Molecule: long non-coding RNA, 835 nt
Organism: Xiphophorus hellerii (green swordtail)
Lineage: Eukaryota; Metazoa; Chordata; Actinopteri; Cyprinodontiformes; Poeciliidae
Exons: 2
Source: RefSeq, a predicted model, not a curated record